CACUCUGUGAAAUGUAUAUCUAUGGAUUGUCAUCUGCUAUAUGACAAUAGCUUAAAGCCUGCCUUGGUCCACGUUCCACUAGCAGCUGUCAAGAAAUAAACAUCCGCAUCCCAGGCCUUCUUCCACGGCUCACACCUUUGUGCUUUCUGGGUCACUAUAACAAAAUGCCACAGACCAAGUGGCUUACAAACAACAGAAAUGUACUGCUCACAGUUCUCAGGCUGCAAGUCUGAGACCAGGGUGUCAGCAUGGUGGGGAGAGGGUGCUCUUCCCGGUCACAGACGUCUUGUUGUAUCCUCUCAGGGUGGAAGGGGCUAGGGAGCUCUGCCGGUGUCCUUUAUAAGAGCCCUAAUCUCAUUCAUGAGGGCUUCACCCUCCUGACCUCAUCACCUCCCCAGAGCCAUCAGAAGGGAAUCCACAAGCUCCCACCACAUCUUCUCACCUCCCAGAAUUGGUGCCCUAGGCUAUGCCUUCCUCCUGUUACCAAAGAGCUUCAAAGAAGAGCCUCUUCACAUGACACCUGCUUUUUCUCUUGCCUUCUAAGGGACCUUUUCUCAGCAAUUCUCCCUCUUUUCUCUUGUAUUGAUUUUUUUUCUCUCCAUUGGAUCAUUCAAACACCAUAAAAACCUGCCAUAAUGUCCCAGUGUUAUAAAACAUAUCAUUGAUCCUGUGUCUUUCUUUAGUCACCCCCUCCCCAUUUUUCUAUCCUUUUCAACAAAGUUCCCUGGCAGAGCUGUCUCUGCCCCAUUGAUUAUGGUCAGACAAUGGCUAGAAACUGGCCACUGGGACAACUGCUCAGCCUCUCCUGGUUGCUGAAUUCAGUAGUGCAUGUCAGUCUUCCUCUUCUUUGGCCUGUUUGAUCAGCUACCCUUCCUUACAUGAUGUCCAGUUCUCUACACUUCUCCAGUUUUCCACAUACCUUAGAGGUUUUCCUUGUAAAAAGCUCGUUGCUGUUUUUGCUUGUCAGCCCAACUUCUUGCUGUUAGAAUGACCCAGAACCAGGCUUCAGCCCUUUGCAAACUUUUCCACCAUAAGCUCUCCUCAUCUCCACUCCAGGAACCCAAGCUCUUAUGCUGAAAAUUAAAAAGUCCAUAGGCUUUGUCGACCUUGGCCUGUGCUCUAGCUGCCCAGUGAGCCACUGGAAAAAUCAAUAUUUGAUGAAAAUUUGAAUAUAUUUACUCUUGUGGUUUUAAAUAAUAUCUGUAUGCUGAAAAUUUCCAAACUAAUCUCUCCUAUGCUAUGGACCUGUCUAUACAACUGCCUAAGUGAAGGCUCCACUUGAGUGCUUUACAGGCACUCAGAACUUUAUAGUUCCUUACCAGAACUGAAUGGACCACCUUUAAUUGGAUCAUCCUCCCAUCAUUACCACCUCAGGUGGUGACACCUCAUCCUUCAGCUGCUUAGGCUGAAAAAUACUGCAGUCUUCUUUGCUCCUGUCUUUCUUGCCCAAAGCCAAAUCAUCAGCAAAUCCUAACUAUCUCACGCCACCGUCACUGCUCCCUUCCUGGUCCGAGCCACCAUCCUCUCUCACCUGACUGAUGCAAAGGCCCCUCACUGGUCUGUCUGCCUCCCGCUUGUUCAUCUUCUCUCUCCCCAUCCCCCCCAGCAGUUUAUUUGCAGCACAUCAGAUCAUCUCUUGCCCUCCAGUGCCUCCCUGUUUCAUAAUGGCUUCUGAGGCUAUCCGUGAUCUGGUUCUCUAUAAUCCUUGACUUCCCUUGGGCAGAUGUUUCUGCUGUAACCGUCUGUGUGUGUCCUAUAAAACUUUGUGUUCUGUAAAAUGUACUCUUAAAAAAAAAAACAGGGCUUUUGGGAAAAGUAGGAUUAGAGCAGAUCUUUCCUAUUUCACACAACUUGAAAACCAUGCUAACCAGAGCCAUAAGGGAUAGUUCUGGGUCAGGGGAGCUGGGCAAGUGGGAGGGGGACAGUUUUGGGGGGGUGGUCAGAGCCUGGUGCAGGUGCUCAUCCUCUUAAAUGGACCUGAAAUCACUCCAGCCUGUGCUGAAGCCAAACUGAGGCCUUCCUCUUUCCCUGCCAAGAUUAGAAUUCUACCCCUGCUCUUCUGGCUCCUU
Molecule: long non-coding RNA, 2069 nt
Filed under: Sus scrofa (pig)
Lineage: Eukaryota; Metazoa; Chordata; Mammalia; Artiodactyla; Suidae
Description: lncRNA (ENSSSCG00015052330.1)
Source: RNAcentral